UCGUACAAUGGGAGGCACCGGAGCUGUCGCUGGCCUUUUCCUUUCAAGGUUGUGCACGCCCCGAGUGUUCUCAUCCACACACAUCCACCUCACCUUUGUGCAUCACCGCGUGGGCUCCUCAAAGAGGGGCUUGCGUUCUUACGCAUACACCCUUUUGAAUGCACCGUAGGAUGUCUUGCUUUUAUUAAUAAAUGCAAUCAAUA
This 203-nucleotide unclassified non-coding RNA is filed under the name uncultured Russulaceae. RNAcentral's name for it is "sequence contains ITS1". The record is from RNAcentral. Lineage: Eukaryota; Fungi; Basidiomycota; Agaricomycetes; Russulales; Russulaceae.